This 507-nucleotide ribosomal RNA is filed under the name uncultured bacterium. Its description in RNAcentral is "bacterial SSU rRNA". It matches the Rfam family "Bacterial small subunit ribosomal RNA", at positions 32 to 514 of the family's 1533-position model. The record is from RNAcentral.
AAUCAACGCUGGCGGCGUGCCUAACACAUGCAAGUCGAACGCGAAAGUGGAGCAAUCCAUGAGUAGAGUGGCAAACGGGUGAGUAACACGUGGGUGACCUGCCUUAGAGUGGGGGAUAACGUCCCGAAAGGGACGCUAAUACCGCAUAACAUGCUGCCUUUUAAGAGGCGGACAUCAAAGCCGGGGACCGCAAGGCCUGGCGCUUAAAGAGGGGCCCGCGCCUGAUUAGCUAGUUGGUGGGGUAAUGGCUCACCAAGGCAACGAUCAGUAUCCGGCCUGAGAGGGCGGACGGACACACUGGGACUGAGACACGGCCCAGACUCCUACGGGAGGCAGCAGUGGGGAAUUGUUCGCAAUGGGCGCAAGCCUGACGACGCAACGCCGCGUGGAGGAUGAAGAUCUUCGGGUUGUAAACUCCUUUCGAUCGAGACGAAUGGCCCUUGGGCUAACAUCCCGAGGGAGUGACGGUACCGAGAGAAGAAGCCCCGGCUAACUCCGUGCCAGCAG